This 252-nucleotide long non-coding RNA is filed under the name Carica papaya (papaya). RNAcentral describes it as "long non-coding RNA (CPAP_LNC003295)". The record is from RNAcentral. Lineage: Eukaryota; Viridiplantae; Streptophyta; Magnoliopsida; Brassicales; Caricaceae.
AAACCUUUACCAUUCACUUACCUCGGUGAAAUUCAUAAAACAAUAUACGAAAGCAAUAACAUCAUCAUCAUCAUGAAACUAUAUAUAUAAACUGUAUAACAUAAUACCUAUCAAGCCUUUCGUAAUUCAAUCGUUACACAAUAUAUUUUCCUCAUUUACCAGCCCACUAGUAUCCAUGGAGAUCCAUAGGGGUCCCGCUACCCGUUAACCCUUAACACUUGAAAUCAUAUUCCAGGGCCGUCCCCAUACCCC